This 359-nucleotide ribosomal RNA is filed under the name uncultured bacterium. Its description in RNAcentral is "bacterial SSU rRNA". It matches the Rfam family "Bacterial small subunit ribosomal RNA", at positions 357 to 733 of the family's 1533-position model. The record is from RNAcentral.
GGGAAUAUUAGUAAUGGGCGAAAGCCUGAACUAGCAACGCCGCGUGUGCGAAGAAGGCCUUCGGGUCGUAAAGCACUUUUUGAGAGGAUGAGGAAGGACGGUACUCUCAGAAUAAGUCUCGGCUAACUACGUGCCAGCAGCCGCGGUAACACGUAGGAGGCAAACGUUAUCCGGAUUUACUGGGCGUAAAGCGCGUGUAGGUGGUUUGGUAAGUAGGGCGUGAAAGCUCCUGGCUCAACUGGGAGAGGACGUUCUAAACUGCCAAGCUUGAGGAUGGUAGAUGGAGGUGGAAUCCCGGGUGUAGCUGUCGAAUGCGCAGAUCUCCGGAGGAACACCAGUAGCGAAGGCGGCCUCCUGGA